AUGCUCACUUCAGCAGCACAUAUACUAAAAUUGGAAUGAUACAGGGAAGAUUAGUAUGGUCCUUAAAAAAAGUGAAAUUUUUUAGGACAAAUAGAACUGGUUUUA
This is a small nuclear RNA of Gorilla gorilla gorilla (western lowland gorilla), 105 nucleotides long. NCBI's taxonomy places the organism in Eukaryota, Metazoa, Chordata, Mammalia, Primates, Hominidae. The record is from Ensembl.